This 468-nucleotide ribosomal RNA is filed under the name uncultured bacterium. Its description in RNAcentral is "partial 16S ribosomal RNA". It matches the Rfam family "Bacterial small subunit ribosomal RNA", at positions 28 to 507 of the family's 1533-position model. The record is from RNAcentral.
GACGAACGCUGGCGGCGUGCUUAACACAUGCAAGUCGAACGGAAAGGCCCUGCUUUUGUGGGGUGCUCGAGUGGCGAACGGGUGAGUAACACGUGAGUAACCUGCCCUUGACUUUGGGAUAACUUCAGGAAACUGGGGCUAAUACCGGAUAGGAGCUCCUGCUGCAUGGUGGGGGUUGGAAAGUUUCGGCGGUUGGGGAUGGACUCGCGGCUUAUCAGCUUGUUGGUGGGGUAGUGGCUUACCAAGGCUUUGACGGGUAGCCGGCCUGAGAGGGUGACAGGCUGCAUUGGGACUGAGGCAGCGCCGGGAGUACUACGGGAGGCAGAAGGGGGGAAGAGUGCCCACUGGGUGGAAGCGUGAUGCCGCAACGCCGGGUGAGGAAUGAGGGUCUUCGGUGUGUAAAAAGCAAUCGCCUGUGACGAAGCGUGAAUGAGGGUAAUGAGUAAAAGAGCCACGGCUAACUACGCG